GACGAACGCUGGCGGCGUGCCUAAUACAUGCAAGUUGAGCGCUGAAGGUUGGUACUUGUACCAACUGGAUGAGCAGCGAACGGGUGAGUAACGCGUGGGGAAUCUGCCUUUGAGCGGGGGACAACAUUUGGAAACGAAUGCUAAUACCGCAUAAAAACUUUAAACACAAGUUUUAAGUUUGAAAGAUGCAAUUGCAUCACUCAAAGAUGAUCCCGCGUUGUAUUAGCUAGUUGGUGAGGUAAAGGCUCACCAAGGCGAUGAUACAUAGCCGACCUGAGAGGGUGAUCGUCCACAUUGGGACUGAGACACGGCCCAAACUCCUACGGGAGGCAGCAGUAGGGAAUCUUCGGCAAUGGACGAAAGUCUGACCGAGCAACGCCGCGUGAGUGAAGAAGGUUUUCGGAUCGUAAAACUCUGUUGGUAGAGAAGAACGUUGGUGAGAGUGGAAAGCUCAUCAAGUGACGGUAACUACCCAGAAAGGGACGGCUAACUACGUG
RNAcentral lists this ribosomal RNA (497 nucleotides) under uncultured bacterium. RNAcentral's name for it is "partial 16S ribosomal RNA". It matches the Rfam family "Bacterial small subunit ribosomal RNA", at positions 28 to 507 of the family's 1533-position model. The record is from RNAcentral.